Molecule: ribosomal RNA, 509 nt
Filed under: uncultured bacterium
Lineage: Bacteria
Description: bacterial SSU rRNA
Rfam family: Bacterial small subunit ribosomal RNA
Source: RNAcentral
AGAGUUUGAUCCUGGCUCAGGAUGAACGCUAGCGGCAGGCCUAAUACAUGCAAGUCGAACGGGUAAAAUCCCCUUCGGGGGGAUUGAGAGUGGCGGACGGGUGCGUUACGCGUAUGCAACCAACCCCCGACGGGGGCACAGCCGGUGGAAACGCCGGGUGAUGCCCCAUGCGGCCAAGGGAGGGCAUCCUCCUUUGGCGAAAGCCUUCGGGCGGUCGGGGACGGGCAUGCGUGCCAUUAGCUGGUUGGCGGGGCGACGGGCCCACCCAAGGCUACGAUGGCUAGGGGAUCUGAGAGGACGGGUCCCCCACACUGGUACUGAGACACGGACCAGACUCCUGCGGGGAGGCAGCAGUAAGGGAUAUUGGGCAAUGGGGGAACCCUGACCCAGCCAUGCCGCGUGAGGGAAUGAGGCCCUACGGGUCGUGAACCUCUUUGCCGGGGACAACCGCGGGAUCGCGAAUCCCGCCUGCGGGUACCCGGCGAAUAAGCAUCGGCUAACUCCGUGCC